Molecule: ribosomal RNA, 468 nt
Filed under: uncultured bacterium
Lineage: Bacteria
Description: partial 16S ribosomal RNA
Rfam family: Bacterial small subunit ribosomal RNA
Source: RNAcentral
GACGAACGCUGGCGGCGUGCUUAACACAUGCAAGUCGAACGGAAAGGCCCUGCUUUUGUGGGGUGCUCGAGUGGCGAACGGGUGAGUAACACGUGAGUAACCUGCCCUUGACUUUGGGAUAACUUCAGGAAACUGGGGCUAAUACCGGAUAGGAGCUCCUGCUGCAUGGUGGGGGUUGGAAAGUUUCGGCGGUUGGGGAUGGACUCGCGGCUUAUCAGCUUGUUGGUGGGGUAGUGGCUUACCAAGGCUUUGACGGGUAGCCGGCCUGAGAGGGUGACCGGCCACGUUGGGACUGAGAUACGGCCCAGACUCCUACGGGAGGCAGCGGUGGGGAAUAUUGCACAAUGGGCGGAAGCCUGAUGCAGCAACGCCGCGUGCGGGAUGACGGCCUUCGGGUUGUAAACCGCUUUCGCCUGUGACGAAGCGUGAGUGACGGUAAUGGGUAAAGAAGCACCGGCUAACUACGUG